CCAUGCCCCUUGAUAAGAUUUCCAGAUACAUUUUCGGGAUACAGUUUGACUUACUAAACCCUAUAAACACCUGCAUUUUCUAUGCAUCAAAACUAAACAAAGGCUCUGUGAGCUGUUUUUGAAUCUUAUCGGGAAGUGAUAUAUCACCUAUUUUUCCUUCAUUCGUCUUUGUUCUUUGAAAAACAGGAAUGAACAGCAUCAAAAGUCCUUUCAAGGGUAUAGUCAAUGAUUUUAAAGGAAGAAAAGCAUCUUAUAAACAAGACUGGAUUGGUGGAUUUUGUUCUGGCUUUAGGAUACUAGCUCCAACCUUCUAUAUAUUCUUUGCUUCUGCACUUCCUGUGAUCGCUUUUGGAGAGCAAUUGAGUAGAGAUACAGAUGGAAGCUUGAGCACAGUGGAAACAUUAGCUUCCACUGCAAUAUGUGGUGUCAUCCAAUCAUUAUUCGGUGGUCAGCCUUUGUUGGUUUUAGGAGUUGCUGAACCAACCGUCAUUAUGUACAAUUAUAUGUACAGUUUCAGCAAAAAAAGACCGGAGUUGGGGGCUGAACUAUUUCUAGCUUGGACCGGCUGGGUUUGUGUCUGGACAUCACUGUUGCUGAUUCUUCUUGCAAUUUUCAAUGCAUGUAACAUCAUAUCCAGAUUUACAAGGAUUGCAGGAGAGCUUUUCGGCAUGUUAAUUUCAGUGCUCUUCAUCCAAGAGGCUAUCAAGGGAGUAGUCUCUGAAUUUAGUAUUCCCAAAAAUGAGGAUCCAAACAAGGAGGAGUUCCAAUUUGAAUGGCUCUACACCAAUGGCUCGCUAGCAGUUAUUUUCUGCUUUGGUUUGCUUUUGACUGCCCUUAAGAGCAGAAAAGCAAGAUCAUGGUGGUAUGGAACAGGCUGGCUUCGAAGUUUUAUUGCCGACUAUGGGGUUCCCUUUAUGGUAUUAGCAUGGACAGCAAUGUCUUAUAAUGUCCCCGGUAAAGUCCCACAUGCAGUUCCUAGGCGGCUCAUCUGUCCAUUUCCAUGGGACAAAGCAUCACUAUAUCACUGGACAAUCAUAACUGACAUGGGGAAGGUCCCAGUCGCGUACAUCUUUGCUGCCUUCAUACCAGCCCUUAUGAUAGCAGGUCUGUACUUUUUCGACCACAGUGUAGCUGCACAGCUGGCGCAACAGAAGGAAUUUAAUCUUCAAAAACCAUCUGCGUACCAUUAUGAUUUGUUACUGCUAGGAAUAAUGACAUUGAUAUGUGGGUUGCUAGGACUUCCACCAUCAAAUGGGGUCCUUCCACAGUCCCCCAUGCACACUAAAAGUCUUGCUACACUAAGGAGGCAAGUGAUCCGAAAGAAGAUGGUGAAAAGUGCCAAGGAUUGCAUGAAAGUGAAUGGAAGCAACUCGGAGAUUUAUGGAAGGAUGGAAGCUGUGUUUUUAGAAAUGGAAGGCAACUCCCCUCCAAAUCCUGAGGAGUUGGCAAACUUGAAGGAGGCUGUGAUGAAAGCUGAUGAUGGGGACAGUUUGAAGGGAAAGUUUGAUCCUGAAAAACACAUUGACACUCACUUGCCUGUUCGGGUCAAUGAGCAAAGAGUGAGCAACCUCUUGCAGUCGCUCCUUGUGGGAGGCUCAAUAUUGGCAAUCGCUGUAAUCAAAAUGAUACCUACCUCAGUUCUGUGGGGAUACUUUGCCUACAUGGCAAUUGAUAGUCUCCCAGGUAAUCAGUUCUUUGAGAGGAUUUUGCUGCUCUUCAUCAGCCCUAGUCGGCUUUACAAGGUCUUGGAGGGUUCUCAUGCUUCAUUCGUGGAGUCAGUACCAUAUAAGUACAUUGUUGGGUUUACCCUCUUCCAAGUUGUUUACUUCUUGAUUUGUUUCGGGGUGACAUGGAUACCUAUAGCAGGAAUAUUGUUCCCAUUGCCAUUCUUCCUUCUUAUCAGCAUAAGAGAACAUGUGUUACCAAGAUUCUUUAACCCUUUCCAUCUUCAAGAACUUGAUUCUUCUGAGUGGGAAGAAUGUCCAGGUUCUCCACAAGUAAGUCUUUUUAGUUUGCAUGGAGUUAUUGUCCACAGUAACACAUUGUAUUGUUUAUGAUGAUAUAACUUUAACAUUCGUGAAAUUGUGUUCUGUGGAGCAGGAAAACUCACCUGAAGCUGGCGGUCACGAGGAGGGUAGAGAAGAAUUCUGUGAUGCUGAGAUACUGGAUGAGAUGACAACCAGCAGAGGCGAGUUGAAGCUCAGGACCAGUUUCAGGCGCAUGCCGGAUGAUGCUCCCGGAUUGAUUAUUGAUUGAUAGAGCUUCUACUUUGUGCAUUCUUAUAAGAAGAUGAUGAUCAGUAUACUCCUCAUCUGAGGAUUACUGCCAAAUGAAUCUUCUGUAUGAGGUGACACUCAAUUAUGACAAACAUAUAUGCGAAAAUGUGAACAACAUCGUUUUCUCUGGAAUUUUUAUACCUCUGUUGGACUUUGUAAUAUUACUUUUUUUUUUGUCUGAACUUUGUAAUAUUACUUUUUAUAUAAUAAAUAAGGCGAUGGGAGGUGGGUUCCUAGAUCGGGCAGACCUUCCGCCUUUAGGUUUGAGGUGCUAA
Argentina anserina (silverweed cinquefoil) is the source of this 2551-nucleotide RNA transcript. It is a transcript of the gene named probable boron transporter 7, with no coding region annotated. Lineage: Eukaryota; Viridiplantae; Streptophyta; Magnoliopsida; Rosales; Rosaceae. The transcript is spliced from 10 exons. The record is from RefSeq and is a predicted model, not a curated record.